RNAcentral lists this long non-coding RNA (1183 nucleotides) under Anas platyrhynchos platyrhynchos (common mallard). RNAcentral's name for it is "lncRNA (ENSAPLG00000020627.1)". Lineage: Eukaryota; Metazoa; Chordata; Aves; Anseriformes; Anatidae. The record is from RNAcentral.
GCACUGGCACACGCUGGUCGAGGUGAGACCCCCCCGGCACCCAUGGGACCCCCCCGGCCCCCCAGGGGACCCCCCGUCACCCAUGGGACCCCCCCAGCACCCAUGGGACCCCCCUGGCACCCAUAGGAACCCCCAGUACCCAUAGGACCCCCCUGGUACCUAUAGGAUAACCUCAAUGUCUAUAGGAUCACCUGGCUCCCAUGGGACCCCCCAGCACCCAUGGGACCCCCCCGGCACCCAUGGGACCCCCCAGCACCCAUGGGACCCCCCCAGCACCCAUAGGACCCCCCAGCACCCAUGGGACCCCCCAACACCCAUAGGACCCCCCAGCACCCAUGGGACCCCCCAGCACCCAUGGGACCCCCCCGGCACCCAUGGGACCCCCCCAGCAUAUGGGUGUCCCCGUCCCCAUAUGGGUGUCCCCGUCCCGGUGCAGGAGAAGGCGCUGGGGCUGGCGGCCAAGGGGGCGGCGCGGGACAAACCCAGCAUCGUGGUGGAGCCCGACUGAGCCGGUACUGGGAGCACUGGGAGCACUGGGAGCGGCACCGAGGGCUCCGGGAGGGACCGGGGAGGCAUUGGGCCAUACUGGAGGGCACUGGGCCAUACUGGAGGGCAUGGGGCAAACUGGGGGAGGGCACUGGGAGCACUCUGUACCAUACUGGGAGGUUACUGGGGCAUGCUUGGGGCCACUGGGCCAUACUGGGAGAGCAUUGAGCCAUACUGGGAGGGUUCUGGGUCAUGCUGGGAGGGCACUGGGCCAUACUGGGGUGGCACUGGGCCAUGCUGGAGGGCACUGGGCCAUACUGGAGGGGACACUACUAUAUGGGGCCAUACUGGGAGGGCACUGGAGAGCAUGUGGACAUACUGGAAGGGAACUGGACCAUACUGGGAGGCUGCUGGGUCAUACAGAGAGGGCAUUUUACCAUGCUGGGGAGCACUUGGCCAUACUGGGAGGGCCACUGGAUCGUACUGGGGGGCCACUGGGCCAUAUUGAGGGUCAUUGGGCCAUACUGGAGGGCACUGGGCUAUACUGGGGGGCUCUGGGCUGUACUGGGAGCACACUUUACCAUACUGGGGGACAUGGGGCCAUACUGGGAGGGCACUGGGCCAUACUGGGAGCACACCUUACCAUACUGGGAGGCAAUGGGCCAUACUGGGAGGGCACUUUACCAUACUGGGAGAU